RNAcentral lists this ribosomal RNA (397 nucleotides) under uncultured bacterium. RNAcentral's name for it is "partial 16S ribosomal RNA". It matches the Rfam family "Bacterial small subunit ribosomal RNA", at positions 523 to 918 of the family's 1533-position model. The record is from RNAcentral.
AUACGUAGGGGGCGAGCGUUGUCCGGAAUGAUUGGGCGUAAAGGGCGCGUAGGCGGCCCGGUAAGUCUGGAGUGAAAGUCCUGUUUUUAAGAUGGGAAUUGCUUUGGAUACUGUCGGGCUUGAGUGCAGGAGAGGUAAGUGGAAUUCCCAGUGUAGCGGUGAAAUGCGUAGAGAUUGGGAGGAACACCAGUGGCGAAGGCGACUUACUGGACUGUAACUGACGCUGAGGCGCGAAAGUGGGGGGAGCAAACAGGAUUAGAUACCCUGGUAGUCCACACUGUAAACGAUGAAUGCUAGGUGUAGGGGGUAUCGACCCCGUCUGUGCCGCAGUCAACACAAUAAGCAUUCCGCCUGGGGAGUGCGGCCGCAAGGUUGAAACUUAAAGGAAUUGACGGGG